GGACUACCGGGGUUUCUAAUCCCGUUUGCUCCCCACGCUUUCGCGCCUCAGCGUCAGUACCGGUCCAGUGAGCCGCCUUCGCCACUGGUGUUCCUCCCAAUAUCUACGCAUUUCACCGCUACACUGGGAAUUCCACUCACCUCUCCCGGUCUCAAGCCCAGCAGUUUGGAGGGCAGUUCCCCGGUUAAGCCGGGGGAUUUCACCUUCCACUUGCCAGGCCGCCUACGCGCCCUUUACGCCCAAUAAUUCCGAAUAACGCUUGCCCCCUCUGUAUUACCGCGGCGGCUGGCAC
This 292-nucleotide ribosomal RNA is filed under the name uncultured Acidobacteriota bacterium. RNAcentral describes it as "uncultured Acidobacteria bacterium partial 16S ribosomal RNA". Lineage: Bacteria; Pseudomonadati; Acidobacteriota. The record is from RNAcentral.